This 152-nucleotide ribosomal RNA is filed under the name uncultured Alphaproteobacteria bacterium. RNAcentral's name for it is "partial 16S ribosomal RNA". It matches the Rfam family "Bacterial small subunit ribosomal RNA", at positions 335 to 504 of the family's 1533-position model. Lineage: Bacteria; Pseudomonadati; Pseudomonadota; Alphaproteobacteria. The record is from RNAcentral.
ACUCCUACGGGAGGCAGCAGUGGGGAAUAUUGGACAAUGGGGGCAANCCUGAUCCAGCCAUGCCGCGUGNGUGAAGAAGGCCUUAGGGUUGUAAAGCUCUUUCGGCGGGGAAGAUNAUGACGGUACCCGCAGAAGAAGCCCCGGCUAACUCC